Molecule: ribosomal RNA, 719 nt
Filed under: Embleya scabrispora
Lineage: Bacteria; Bacillati; Actinomycetota; Actinomycetes; Kitasatosporales; Streptomycetaceae
Description: bacterial SSU rRNA
Rfam family: Bacterial small subunit ribosomal RNA
Source: RNAcentral
GGUUGAGUACUCGUGGGCAACCUGCCCUGCACUCUGGGAUAACUUCGGGAAACCGGAGCUAAUACCGGAUAACACCUUCCAUCGCAUGGUGGCGGGUUGAAAGUUCCGGCGGUGCAGGAUGGGCCCGCGGCCUAUCAGCUUGUUGGUGGGGUAGUGGCCCACCAAGGCGACGACGGGUAGCCGGCCUGAGAGGGCGACCGGCCACACUGGGACUGAGACACGGCCCAGACUCCUACGGGAGGCAGCAGUGGGGAAUAUUGCGCAAUGGGCGAAAGCCUGACGCAGCGACGCCGCGUGAGGGAUGACGGCCUUCGGGUUGUAAACCUCUUUCAGCAGGGAAGAAGCGCAAGUGACGGUACCUGCAGAAGAAGCACCGGCUAACUACGUGCCAGCAGCCGCGGUAAUACGUAGGGUGCGAGCGUUGUCCGGAAUUAUUGGGCGUAAAGAGCUCGUAGGCGGCUUGUCGCGUCGGAUGUGAAAACCCGGGGCUUAACCCCGGGCCUGCAUUCGAUACGGGCAGGCUAGAGUUCGGCAGGGGAGACUGGAAUUCCUGGUGUAGCGGUGAAAUGCGCAGAUAUCAGGAGGAACACCGGUGGCGAAGGCGGGUCUCUGGGCCGAUACUGACGCUGAGGAGCGAAAGCGUGGGGGAGCGAACAGGAUUAGAUACCCUGGUAGUCCACGCCGUAACGUUGGGCACUAGGUGUGGGCAUCAUUCCACG